UAGCAAACUCCCGGGUUAAUUAAUCCUAAU
RNAcentral lists this non-coding RNA (30 nucleotides) under Mus musculus (house mouse). Lineage: Eukaryota; Metazoa; Chordata; Mammalia; Rodentia; Muridae. The record is from RNAcentral.